This 1139-nucleotide long non-coding RNA is filed under the name Brassica rapa (field mustard). RNAcentral's name for it is "long non-coding RNA (BRAP_LNC001437)". The record is from RNAcentral. Lineage: Eukaryota; Viridiplantae; Streptophyta; Magnoliopsida; Brassicales; Brassicaceae.
GGAAAAUCGCAUUUUAAACGAUAAAGGUGUAAAAUGGUAGCACUUUAAACCUUGGUAUUCAAAAACUCACACAAACUAACUUACUUCUUUACCAAGCAAAAAUAUGACCGGUACUGUUCAUCCGUUUGUGAAAAAGUACGAGGUGUUAGUUGUUUUUUUAAUUAAUAAAUAAAAAAAAAUUAAAUAAUUAAAAAUUAAAAUUAAUUUAAAAAAUCAGAAAUAAUUGCAAAAAACUAAAGAAACAAAACUCAAAAAAUCAAACUUCAAAAAGAAAUGAAUAAAAUUUUAAAUUUAUUAAUAAUUUAAAAUAAAAUAAAAAAAUCAAAAAUAAAUUAAUAAUAUUUUAAAUUAAAUAAUAUUUUUUUUUAAAAAAGUAAAAAAUUCUUAAAAAAUUCUUAAAAAAAAUUCAAAAAAUAAAAAAAAUAAAGAAAUAAAUUAAUUAAUAAAAAUUCAAUAAAAAAUUCAAAAUUAAAAGUAACAAAAAUAAAAAAAGUAAAUAAAUUCAGCAAAUGUUAGUGGAAACCAUGAAUGUAAGAAGGUAGCACUUUGGUGGUGAUUUCAUAUGUGACAGUUUUCCGAUAUAUUUAUAAGUUCUCAACAUAUUGUUGGUUCGUUGGUGGUGAUUUCCGAUAUAACAUCUUUGAUGGUGAUGAGUUUGAAGGAUGAUAUGUCAAAAUCCAUUAACAUCAAGGGUUAUAUUUUGAAAAUAGUUACUAUUAAUAUAUUGGAAAUCGCUGCAUAUAAAAAAUAUUUUGAAAAUUUUCAGUUGUAUGUUAACUUUAGGGCUUUGUUUACUUAUUUUGAUUUUUUAAUUUUUUUAAUUUAUAAUUAAAUUUUUAGUUUAUUAAUUUUUGAGUUUUUAAAAUUUAUUUUAAUUUUUAAAAUAUCAAAUUUAAUAAUUUUUAUUAAUAAAUUUAGAUUUUUAAUCAUUUUGUUUUUUUUUUAAAUAUUUAAAAUUAUAUAUAAUUAAAAAUUUUAUUCAUUUAUUUUCAUUUUAAAAUUUUUUAAAAUUUUAUUUCUUUUUCAUUUAUUUCUGAUUUUUAAAAUUAAUUUUUUUUUUCAUUAUAUUAAAUGUUUUUAUUUUUUAUUAAUUAAAAAAACUGAUACCUCAUAUUUUUUUACCCAAAGAUGAACAGUAC